RNAcentral lists this ribosomal RNA (465 nucleotides) under uncultured bacterium. Its description in RNAcentral is "partial 16S ribosomal RNA". It matches the Rfam family "Bacterial small subunit ribosomal RNA", at positions 28 to 507 of the family's 1533-position model. The record is from RNAcentral.
GACGAACGCUGGCGGCGUGCUUAACACAUGCAAGUCGAACGGAAAGGCCCUGCUUGCAGGGUACUCGAGUGGCGAACGGGUGAGUAACACGUGGGUGAUCUGCCCUGCACUUCGGGAUAAGCCUGUGAAACUGGGUCUAAUACCGGAUAGGAGCCAUUUUUAGUGUGAUGGUUGGAAAGUUUUUUCGGUGUAGGAUGAGCUCGCGGCCUAUCAGCUUGUUGGUGGGGUAAUGGGUUACCAAGGCGGCUACGGGUAGCCGGCCUGGGAGGGUGGACGGCCAUCUUGGGACUGAGGUGAGGCCCAGACUCCGACGGGAGGGAGAAGUGGGGAAUACUGCACAAUGGGCGCAAGCCUGAUGCAGCGACGCCGCGUGGGGGAUGACGGCCUUCGGGUUGUAAAAUCAUUUCGCUAGGGACGAUGCUUUUUGUGACGGUACCUAGAUAAGAAGCAACGGCUAACUACGUG